Molecule: long non-coding RNA, 711 nt
Organism: Odocoileus virginianus texanus
Lineage: Eukaryota; Metazoa; Chordata; Mammalia; Artiodactyla; Cervidae
Source: RefSeq, a predicted model, not a curated record
UUGGCGAGCGCCUGUAGCUGCCACGUAACGGCCGCAUGGCGGCCGCCGAGGGACAAGAAUACUCCGCGCGUCUCGAGCCUGGACGGUGGCUCAGAAGGACCAGAAACUAUCGUUUCCGUUACUAGUUCCAUUCAUGUACCACCUAAACUUUUAUGGGCCAUACCAGGAAGCGGUAGUAUCAAGAAACCUCCUCUGCCUCGUGCAAGACGCUCUUAGGAUUAUCCAUAAAGACAGCGGAAGAUUUGGAGGCAGCAAUAGUAGUUUUUUAAAUGUUACUUUAUGAAGAACAAUAUUGAUAUAAAAAUGAAAAUUCAAGACAAGUUUAACCAUAAUGUCACCACCUAAUCAAAUAAGCCGUCCUGGGACAUUCUAGGACCUUCAUCUCAUAUCCAUCCUGGCCCUCUCUGUUCACCUCUGUAUCACAAGGAAAUCUGUUUCCCAGGCUCCCUUUCACUCUGCUUCCUGGGGCUUCUGUUUGGAGCAAUGAAAAUAUUCUGGGAAUUCCCUGGCAGUCCAGUGAUGAGGACUCAGCGCUUUCUCUGCCCGAGCCCAGAUUAGAUUUCUGGUUGGAGAACUUAAGAUACUGUAAGCCAUGAUGUACAGCCAAAAAAAAAAAAAAUGAGGCUUGGGACUAGAUAGUAGUGAUGGGUGCAGAUAUCUGUGAACAACUUAAGAUACUGUAAGCCAUGAUGUACAGCCAAAAAAAAAAAA